UACGUAGGGUGCGAGCGUUAAUCGGAAUUACUGGGCGUAAAGCGUGCGCAGGCGGUUAUAUAAGACAGAUGUGAAAUCCCCGGGCUCAACCUGGGAACUGCAUUAGUGACUGUAUAGCUAGAGUGCGGCAGAGGGGGAUGGUAUUCCGCGUGUAGCAGUGAAAUGCGUAGAUAUGCGGAGGAACACCGAUGGCGAAGGCAAUCCCCUGGGCCUGCACUGACGCUCAUGCACGAAAGCGUGGGGAGCAAACAGG
RNAcentral lists this ribosomal RNA (253 nucleotides) under uncultured bacterium. RNAcentral's name for it is "partial 16S ribosomal RNA". It matches the Rfam family "Bacterial small subunit ribosomal RNA", at positions 524 to 776 of the family's 1533-position model. The record is from RNAcentral.